GACGAACGCUGGCGGCGUGCUUAACACAUGCAAGUCGAACGCUGAAGGCCUGGCUGUUGUUGGGUUGGGUGAGUGGCGAACGGGUGAGUAACACGUGAGUAACCUGCCCUCUUCUUUGGGAUAACGCCCGGAAACGUGUUCUAAUACUGGAUAUUCACUGGCCUGCGCAUGGGGGUUGGUGGAAAGGCUUGUUCUGGUGGGGGAUGGGCUCGCGGCCUAUCAGGUUGUUGGUGGGUAUAUGGACUACCAAGGCUGUGACGGGUCGGAGGCCGGAGAGGGUGACCGGGCACAUUGGGAAUGGGAUACGGCCCAGACUCCUGCGGGAGGCAGCAGUGGGGGACAUUGCGCAAUGGGCGAAAGCAUGAUGCCGCGACGUGGCGUGAGGGAUGGCGGCCUUCGGGGUGUAAAACUCUUGCGCUAAUGGUAGAGCCGCAACAGUGGGUUGUGGUGAGGGUAGUGGGUAAAGAAGCGCCGGCUAACUACGUG
Molecule: ribosomal RNA, 486 nt
Filed under: uncultured bacterium
Lineage: Bacteria
Description: partial 16S ribosomal RNA
Rfam family: Bacterial small subunit ribosomal RNA
Source: RNAcentral